This 1816-nucleotide ribosomal RNA is filed under the name Bathygadus antrodes. RNAcentral describes it as "16S ribosomal RNA". It matches the Rfam family "Bacterial large subunit ribosomal RNA". Lineage: Eukaryota; Metazoa; Chordata; Actinopteri; Gadiformes; Macrouridae. The record is from RNAcentral.
CAUACUUUGCAACUAGCCGUAUCAUUAAUUUUUCUAUUAAUUAAUUAAAAAAUUAUAAUAAUAUUAAUUAAAACAUUUUAACCCCUAGUAUGGGCGACAAAAAAGGAAAGAAGAGCAAUAGAUGAAGUACCGUGAGGGAACGAUGAAAGAGAAGUGAAAUAAAUCAUUUAAGUUUCAAAUAGCAGAGUUUACACCUCGUACCUUUUGCAUCAUGAUUUAGCGAGUACUAACAAGCAAAGAGCCCUUUAGUUUGUGACCCCGAAACUGAGCGAGCUACUUCAAGACAGCCUAUAAGGGCGAACCCGUCUCUGUGGCAAAAGGGUGGGAAGAUCUUUGAGUAGAGGUGACAGAUCUAUCGAGCGCAGUAAUAGCUGGUUACCUAAUAAAUGAAUAGGAGUUCAGCCCUUUAAAUUUCCUGUUUCACCUUGCGUGUGCUAGAGAAGAACAAGGAAAUUAAAGGAGUUAGUCAAAAGGGGAACAGCUCUUUUGACGAAAGAAACAACUUUAGUAGGUGCUUUAAGAUCAUAUUUCUUAAGGAAUUUGAUACAAGUGGGCCUAAAAGCAGCCAUCUUAAUAGAAAGCGUUAAAGCUCAAAUUAGACUAUAUCCAUUUAUACUGACAUUAAGUCUUCAUCCCUACAUUUUAUAUUAGGUUAUCUUAUGCAUCCAUAAGAGUAAUAAUGCUAAAAUGAGUAAUAAGAAAAAUUUAAUUUUUCUCCUAGCAUGUGUGUAAGUUGGAACGGACCUUCCGCCAACGAUUACCCGACCCCAAGUUUAGAGGGCGAUAAGUAUAUAAUAACAAGAAAAGUACUUAGUUUAAAUCGUUAACCCUACACAGGUAUGUAAUAAGGAAAGACUAAAAGAGAGGGAAGGAACUCGGCAAACAAGAGCCUCGCCUGUUUACCAAAAACAUCGCCUCUUGUUCUACUAAUAUAAGAGGUCUCGCCUGCCCGGUGACUAUAUGUUUAACGGCCGCGGUAUUUUAACCGCGCGAAGGUAGCGUAAUCAUUUGUCUUUUAAAUGAAGACCUGUAUGAAUGGUAUUACGAGGGCUCAACUGUCUCCCUUCUCCAGUCAAUGAAAUUGACCUCCCCGUGCAGAGGCGGGGAUAUUAAUAUAAGACGAGAAGACCCUGUGGAGCUUCAAGACCUAAAAUAAGCCAUGUUCAGGAAUCUAAAAUAUAAGUAAAAACUUAGUGGCAUCUAUUGAAGUGUCUUCGGUUGGGGUGACCCUGGGGAAAAAUUAAACCCCCAAGUAGACUGGGUACAUUGUCUCUAGAACUCAGAGCUCAUACUCCAAGUAACAGAAUAUUUGACUUUAUGAUCCGGUAUAACCGAUCAACGAACCAAGUUACCCCAGGGAUAACAGCGCAAUCCUCUUUAAGAGCCCAUAUCGACAAGGGGGUUUACGACCUCGAUGUUGGAUCAGGACAUCCUAAUGGUGCAGCUGCUAUUAAGGGUUCGUUUGUUCAACGAUUAAAGUCCUACGUGAUCUGAGUUCAGACCGGAGUAAUCCAGGUCGGUUUCUAUCUAUAAAAAACUUUUUUACAGUACGAAAGGACCUAAAAAAGAGGGCCCAUGCUUAAUGUACGCCCUUCCUCUAACUGCUGAAAUCUAAUAAAACAGUUAAAGGGGACUUAAAAACCUCAUAAAAAAUGAGAUGUUAGUGCUGCAGUUAAAGCUCUAGGAAUUUUACACUAGAAAACAGAGGGUUGUACCUUUGGCUAACAAGAUAGGUUUUGGAUUAAGUUCUUAAGCAACUAUCAGUGCAUAGGUCUUUAUAAUACUAUUGAAUUUUCAGAGAUAUAUGUAUAUAAAA